GGAGGGCAAGUCUGGUGCCAGCAGCCGCGGUAAUUCCAGCUCCAAUAGCGUACAUUAAAGUUGUUGCAGUUAAAAAGCUCGUAGUUGAACCUUGGGCCUGGCUGGCCGGUCCGCCUCACCGCGUGCACUGGUUCGGCCGGGCCUUUCCCUCUGGGGAACCCUAUGGUCUUCACUGAUCGUAGCGGGGAACCAGGACUUUUACUGUGAAAAAAUUAGAGUGUUCAAAGCAGGCCUAUGCUCGAAUACAUUAGCAUGGAAUAAUAAAAUAGGACGUGUGGUUCUAUUUUGUUGGUUUCUAGGACCGCCGUAAUGAUUAAUAGGGACAGUCGGGGGCAUCAGUAUUCAAUUGUCAGGGGUGAAAUUCUUGGAUUUAUUGAAGACUAACUACUGCGAAAGCAUUUGCCAAGGAUGUUUUCAUUAAUCAGGAACGAAAGUUAGGGGAUCGAAGACGAUCAGAUACCGUCGUAGUCUUAACCAUAAACUAUGCCGACUAGGGAUCGGACGGUGUUAUUUUUGACCCGUUCGGCACCUUACGGGAAAC
RNAcentral lists this ribosomal RNA (541 nucleotides) under uncultured Pestalotiopsis. RNAcentral describes it as "SSU rRNA". It matches the Rfam family "Eukaryotic small subunit ribosomal RNA", at positions 550 to 1098 of the family's 1831-position model. The record is from RNAcentral. Lineage: Eukaryota; Fungi; Ascomycota; Sordariomycetes; Amphisphaeriales; Amphisphaeriaceae.